RNAcentral lists this ribosomal RNA (484 nucleotides) under uncultured bacterium. RNAcentral describes it as "partial 16S ribosomal RNA". It matches the Rfam family "Bacterial small subunit ribosomal RNA", at positions 30 to 507 of the family's 1533-position model. The record is from RNAcentral.
AUUGAACGCUGGCGGCAGGCCUAACACAUGCAAGUCGAGCGGAUGAAGGGAGCUUGCUCCUGGAUUCAGCGGCGGACGGGUGAGUAAUGCCUAGGAAUCUGCCUGGUAGUGGGGGAUAACGUCCGGAAACGGGCGCUAAUACCGCAUACGUCCUGAGGGAGAAAGUGGGGGAUCUUCGGACCUCACGCUAUCAGAUGAGCCUAGGUCGGAUUAGCUAGUUGGUGGGGUAAAGGCCUACCAAGGCGACGAUCCGUAACUGGUCUGAGAGGAUGAUCAGUCACACUGGAAGUGAGACACGGUCCAGACUCCUGCGGGAGGCAGCAGUGGGGAAUAUUGGACGAUGGGCGAAAGCCUGAUCCAGCCAUGCCGCGUGUGUGAAGAAGGUCUUCGGAUUGUAGAGCACUUUAAGUUGGGAGGAAGGGCAGUAAGUUAAUACCUUGCUGUUUUGACGUUACCAACAGAAUAAGCACCGGCUAACUUCGUG